This 255-nucleotide ribosomal RNA is filed under the name uncultured bacterium. RNAcentral's name for it is "partial 16S ribosomal RNA". It matches the Rfam family "Bacterial small subunit ribosomal RNA", at positions 524 to 776 of the family's 1533-position model. The record is from RNAcentral.
UACGUAGGGUGCGAGCGUUAAUCGGAAUUACUGGGCGUAAAGCGUGCGCAGGCGGUUUUGUAAGUCAGAUGUGAAAUCCCCCGGGCUCAACCUGGGAACUGCGUUUGAAACUACAAGGCUAGAGUGUAGCAGAGGGGGGGUAGAAUUCCACGUGUAGCAGUGAAAUGCGUAGAGAUGUGGAGGAAUACCAAUGGCGAAGGCAGCCCCCUGGGUUAACACUGACGCUCAUGCACGAAAGCGUGGGGAGCAAACAGG